ACGAAGGGGGCUAGCGUUGCUCGGAAUUACUGGGCGUAAAGGGCUCGUAGGCGGCCAACUAAGUCAGACGUGAAAUCCCUCGGCUUAACCGGGGAACUGCGUCUGAUACUGGAUGGCUUGAGUUUGGGAGAGGGAUGCGGAGUUCCAGGUGUAGCGGUGAAAUGCGUAGAGAUCAGGAGGAACACCCGUGGCGAAGGCGGCCUUCUGGGUCCGCCCUGACGCUGAGGCGCGAAAGCGUGGGGAGCGAACGGGA
RNAcentral lists this ribosomal RNA (253 nucleotides) under uncultured prokaryote. Its description in RNAcentral is "partial 16S ribosomal RNA". It matches the Rfam family "Bacterial small subunit ribosomal RNA", at positions 525 to 777 of the family's 1533-position model. The record is from RNAcentral.